AAAUUUGGUUUAGUAAGAUUUGGUUAUGCAUGAAGUCAGCUGACUGAGGAAACAAAGAGAGCACACAAGAGGACUUGUUGGAUAUGUCUAAAGAUGACAGGUUCUUUAGCAUGGAUGAAUUGUUCGAUAAUGCGGAAGAACAUGAUAUUGUCGUUACUUAACAUCAGCUAAGUACACCGGUUCUUUGUUCUGGGCAAGGUCACUAUCUCGAUACUCAACGGCAACAACAACAACAACAGCAAAUAGUAUCAGGAUCCGGGAUGGUGACGAGCAACGACAACCACUUCCAAGAAGACUGGUCGGAUGUAUUUAAUGCGAGUACUUUGACAUGGAUGCAAUAUUGAAUGAUAUGAAGACAGAGCAAGACGUCCGUCUACCUGAGAAUGUAUAAUAAUAUAGUGGAUUUUCCGGGGUACCAAUUUCUGGUGAGAUGUAGGGUUUCCACAUUAGAGACAUGAACUCGUUAAUUUUUUUUGUCGUUAGCUUUCUUUAUUACAAAAGAGAGAUCGAUAUCAAAAGUGAGAUGAAUUUAGCAUUGUCAUCUAUGUUUGGAUAUUAGGGUCAUGAAUCUAAUCUUGUGUGUUCUUCUAUCAAUGAUACAAAUUCACGUUACAAAAUCAUGAAACUCGUUGCUAUAAAUAUAUUGUUGAAGGUUUAUGGUGGAAAACAUAAAUAAAUCUGAAAU
RNAcentral lists this small RNA (685 nucleotides) under Arabidopsis thaliana (thale cress). RNAcentral's name for it is "ATSL171160". The record is from RNAcentral. Lineage: Eukaryota; Viridiplantae; Streptophyta; Magnoliopsida; Brassicales; Brassicaceae.